RNAcentral lists this long non-coding RNA (1207 nucleotides) under Equus caballus (horse). Its description in RNAcentral is "lncRNA (ENSECAG00000057587.1)". Lineage: Eukaryota; Metazoa; Chordata; Mammalia; Perissodactyla; Equidae. The record is from RNAcentral.
AUCUAUUUCUUGAGUGGCAUACUAGUUUCCUAAAGCUGCCGUAGCAAAUUACCAUAAACUGAACGGCUUAAAACAGCAGACGUUUAUUGUCUCACAGUUCUAGAGGCUAGGAGCUUGAAAUAAAGGUGUCGGCAGGACCGUGCUCCUUCUGAAGGCUCUAGGGGAGGAGCCUGCCUUGUUUCAUCCUAGCUUCUGGUAGCUGCCAGCAAUCCUUGGCAGUCCUUGACCCGUCGAUGCGUCACUCCACUCUCUGCCUCAGUUGUCACUGGGCAUUCUCCUGUAUCCUUCUGUCCAAAUUUCCCUCAUAAGGACAGUGGUCAUGGGAUUAGGACCCACCCUAAUCCAGUAUGCCCUCAUCACAACUUGAUUAUGUCUGCAAGAAAUCUAUUCCAAAUAAGGUUACAUUCUGAGGCUGGAUGAACAGGAAUUGGGAGGCGACACUAUUGUGUGCAGUAAAGAUGGUUAUUCCUCCUCUGGACUUAUAAACUCUGUGACCUCAGCAAAGGCAUCUAUCUUGUUCACCACUCUGGCCCCCUGCUGCCCAGUAGAGUGCCUGGUCAGUUAAGAGGCCAGUGAAUAUUUAGUGAACAAACGAAUGAGCAAGAGUUGCUUCACUUCCGUGAGGCUCAGUUCUCCUUAUGCGUCAAAUGGGAAUGGCAGCAUCGCUUCAAAGGAUCGUUGAGGAGGAAUCCACAGCAGCACGUAGAGAAUGCGCAAAAAUUGAUCACCUGGGACUUGUUGAAAAUGCACAUCCUGAUUCAGCUGAUCUGUGGCAGGACCUGAGAUUCUGCACCCACGAGCUCUCAAAUGAUGCCAAUGCUGCUGGCCCUAGAGCGAACUUGAGAAGGAAGGAUGCAGCUGACUUGAGCAGGAGGUCAAAGCUGAUGAGUUAGAUUUGGAAAUGCUGAGUUUGAGUUGCUUAAGUGAUUCUCAAAUGGAUAUUUCAAUGGGGCAGUUGUAAACACAGGGCCAGGAGUUGGAGGGGGAGAUGGGGGCGACAGUUUCUGACAUGGCACAUCAUACAGGAAGUUGGUGAGCUUGGGUAUGGGCAAGGAAAAAACAAAGACAAUGGGGGAUGCCUACACUGGGGGAAGAAAAAAGAGAGGAACAGAAAAGGAGCAGCUGGAGAGAGAGAAACCAGGAUAGCGCAGGGCCACAAGACAGCCAACUGCUGUAGAGAAUAUGGACAAUGAGCCAAGAACUUGCC